GCAAGUCGAGGGGUAGCAUUACCUUCGGUUAGAUGGCGACCGGCGCACGGGUGCGUAACGCGUAUGCAACCUACCUCUCACAUAGGGAUAGCCCCUAGAAAUGGAGAUUAAUACCUUAUGGCAUCUUAAGUGUUGCAUGACACUAAGAUUAAAGAUUUACGGUGAUAGAUGAGCAUGCGUGACAUUAGCUAGUUGGUGAGGUAACGGCGUACCAAGGCAACGAUGUGUAGGGGAUCUGAGAGGACGACC
RNAcentral lists this ribosomal RNA (249 nucleotides) under uncultured bacterium. RNAcentral describes it as "partial 16S ribosomal RNA". It matches the Rfam family "Bacterial small subunit ribosomal RNA", at positions 57 to 305 of the family's 1533-position model. The record is from RNAcentral.